RNAcentral lists this ribosomal RNA (427 nucleotides) under uncultured bacterium. RNAcentral describes it as "bacterial SSU rRNA". It matches the Rfam family "Bacterial small subunit ribosomal RNA", at positions 354 to 796 of the family's 1533-position model. The record is from RNAcentral.
GUGGGGAAUAUUGCGCAAUGGGCGAAAGCCUGACGCAGCCACGCCGCGUGGGUGAUGAAGGCCUUCGGGUUGUAAAGCCCUGUCGGGAGGGAAGAAGUUCUGACGGUACCUCCCAAGAAAGCACCGGCUAACUCCGUGCCAGCAGCCGCGGUAAUACGGAGGGUGCGAGCGUUGCUCGGAAUCACUGGGCGUAAAGCGUACGCAGGCUGUUUCGUAAGUCGGGUGUGAAAGCCCGGGGCUCAACCCCGGAAUUGCGCCCGAGACUGCGGAGCUUGAAUGCGGGAGAGGGAAGCGGAAUUCCUGGUGUAGAGGUGAAAUUCGUAGAUAUCAGGAGGAACACCGGUGGCGAAAGCGGCUUCCUGGCCCGACAUUGACGCUCAUGUACGAGAGCGUGGGGAGCAAACAGGAUUAGAAACCCUUGUAGUCC